AUACUUUUUAUUAGUAUUAUAUACGUUUGAGAAAUGUAGAUUCAAAUAAUUAUUGUUAACUUACAAAAUAUUAAGUAAGCAUAAAACAUGCAAUUGACACAUUUUAAUAUGUUAAUUACACUGGAACUAUUAACAUUUGUAAGUAACAUUUAUAAGUAACGAACAGACAAACGUAUACUGCUAUUGAAGCUUUCGUUCUCUGUAUCAAUAAUAGCAGAAUCCAAGUCAUUGUUAAAGGUCUAUUGAGUUUUGGAUGUUCAGUGUUAUGGUAACGCUUAUUACAUUGAUCCUGGUUGGAACUAAUUCUUUAAGUAUUAAUUUCUUUUAUGUAGCUAUUGCUUUUCAUCUAUUUUCAUUAAUUCUAGAUUAUUCUUUAAUUUGUUCGAAUUGUUUCGACUAAUAGCAGUUAUUGAUGUUAAUGAAAUGUAUGCAAUUUAUGUGCUAAUAGUUCUCCAUUUUAGUUAUAAUUUUGCUUAAAGCAUCGUAAGCCAUGCACGUGUACGUACAUGUAAGUUCAUCUGUUACUGAAAAGAUAGCGAGUACCUCGUGAACAAAUUGUAACGGUUGUAAUUAUUAGCAUUAAAUGAAUAACAAUACAAACAUAUCUUGUUGAAAUAUUGUGCAAUAUUCUUUACAUAAAACAUAUUAUUGUCAUUUUAAUAUGACUUUUAUAUAAUUAAUUACUACAAGUUUUUGCAAUCAUUUAAGACCUUAUUAAUAUUUCUCCCUAAGGAAGAAAGUCACAUAAAAUGACAAAACACAUAUUGGUAAGAAAAUACUAUAGUAUAAUUAUAUGAUUCAUCAAUAUUUUUUUAUGUUAAACAUGUUCUAUGUUAAACAACACACACAACUUUCACAUUAUUCAAGCAAUAUUGCAAAGUCUGAUAAGGUAAGAAACACAGCUCAUGACGAUUCAAAUGCAACUGAAGCUGUCGUUCUUUUCAAGAUUGUGUUUGCGCCUGCGCAUGAAUAUUCUUUGCACCGCACAAUAAACGCCGCUAUUAACAUAAUCGAUACCUCAAUUUGAAACAAUUGAAGCAAUUGAGGUAAUUUCGAUGAACUUUAUUUUAUCUAUAUAACGGUUACAUUGGUCUAUUACUAAAACAAUUACUUUUUUACUUUUUAGUAAUAGACCAACGUACUUUUUCUAUUAAACUAUUUUCGUGAAAAAGGGGAAAGAAUUCAUAAUUUAUACUGUAAAGGCUGCAAAGGAAAAGAUAACGUAAAAAUGAAAGACUCGUUUUAUUGUUGAGUCGUAAACUGAACAAGAUGUACGGGAUUGAAGAGUAUUAUUACAAAGUCAAUCGAGUGUUUAUGAAGACGCUUGGCUUAUGGCCUUAUCAGCAACCAUACAUUGCUCAGUUACAGAAAGUGUUGUUUUCCAGUAUUCUUUUCUCGUUUAUACUUGUUCAGUGCUUAGCAUGUUUUACAAUGAAAUUCAGUACAGACCUUUUCUUGAAGAUUCUGUCAUUUCUGUUUCCUACUCUUUUCGCGACUACGAAAUACUGUGUUUUCGUCAUUCGGGCGGACAGUGUAAAGCUGCUUCUAGAAGAGAUACGAAAUGACUUAACUCUGUUAAAAAACGAAGUGGAAAUUGACAUUAUAAAAAAGUAUGCUGACAAUAUGAGAUUUAUAACAAUGGUUUCGAUCGUGUCUUCUUAUGCUGGUACAGUCUGUUACGUAAUGUCACAAUAUCUUUUACCGUUGUUGCUUAAUGUUCUGUUACCAUUAAAUGCAUCACGAUCUUUGGAACUCAUUGGCAUCACAGAGUACUUUGUCAAUCGCGAGAAAUUUUUUUGGGCAUUGCUAUUCCACGAAGUGGUUACCGUUUAUGUGGGAGUUACCGCAGUAUGUAGCACCGGUGGAACAACAAUAAUGUACUUCCUACACUCAUGUGCACUGUUUAAAGUAGCAAGCUAUCGAAUAGAAAACGCUAUCGAUAAGAAAAUAUUAGCAAUCCCGGAUCCUACAAGAAAAUAUCUUCUUCAGCAGAAGAUUGUGCAUGCAAUUCUAAUUCAUCGCAGAGCCAUCAAGUAUAUUGAGCUGUGGUCAUCCAAUUUUAUGGUACCGUUCACUAUUUUGAUCCUAAUUGGAGUUAGUUCCUUAAGUUUUAAUCUUUUUCAUUUACUUCAAUUAGUAAUCGUGUUGGACGAUCCCAGUGAGAUGUACUUUGCGUUUCUAUUGAUUACUCUUCAUGUUGGUUAUAUGUUCGCCCUUAAUUAUGGUGGACAAGAAAUACAAAAUCACGGGGUGCAAUUAUUCGAAGCGAUGUAAUUAUUGUGUUUUGAAACUUCACUUUUGAAGCUAUAUCAGUGAAUGUUUACAAAAAUGGAGGCAGAGUAAAUUUCACACACAUCUUAAUUAUAAUGGACUGUGGUAUGCAGCACCGCUGCAUACACAGAAAUUACUAUUAUUUCUAAUGCAAAAGGCAGCAGUGAAAGUCACUUUGGUAU
Molecule: unclassified non-coding RNA, 2453 nt
Filed under: Ooceraea biroi (clonal raider ant)
Lineage: Eukaryota; Metazoa; Arthropoda; Insecta; Hymenoptera; Formicidae
Description: uncharacterized LOC105285101, transcript variant X3
Source: RNAcentral